CUUUAGGAGGGGCUUGCGCCAUAUUAGUUAGUUGGUAGGGUAAUGGCCUACCAAGACGAUGAUGUGUAGCUGGACUGAGAGGUUGAACAGCCACAUUGGGACUGAGACACGGCCCAAACUCCUACGGGAGGCAGCAGUAGGGAAUUUUCGGCAAUGGAGGAAACUCUGACCGAGCAACGCCGCGUGAAUGACGAAGUACUUCGGUAUGUAAAGUUCUUUUAUCAAGGAAGAAAAGCAAAUGGCGAACCAUUUGUUUGCCGGUACUUGAUGAAUAAGCCCCGGCUAAUUAUGUGCCAGCAGCCGCGGUAAGACAUAAGGGGCAAGUGUUAUCCGGAAUUAUUGGGCGUAAAGGGUGCGUAGGCGGUCUAGUAAGUCAGUGGUGUAAUGGCAACGCUUAACGUUGUCCGGCUAUUGAAACUGCUAAACUUGAGUUAGAUAGAGGCGAGUGGAAUUCCAUGUGUAGCGGUAAAAUGCGUAAAUAUAUGGAGGAACACCAGAGGCGUAGGCGGCUCGCUGGGUCUUAACUGACGCUGAGGCACGAAAGCGUGGGGAGCAAACAGGAUUAGAUACCCUGGUAGUCCACGCCGUAAACGAUGAGUACUAAGUGUCGGGUUAAACCGGUACUGAAGUUAACACAUUAAGUACUCCGCCUGAGUAGUACGUACGCAAGUAUGAAACUUAAAGGAAUUGACGGGACUCCGCACAAGCGGUGGAUCAUGUUGUUUAAUUCGAAGAUACCCGAAAAACCUUACCAGGUCUUGACAUGUUUUUGCAAAAUGAUAGUAAUAUCGUGGAGGUUACCAGAAACACAGGUGGUGCAUGGUUGUCGUCAGCUCGUGUCGUGAGAUGUUAGGUUAAGUCCUAAAACGAGCGAAACCCUUAUCGUUAGUUGCCAGCACGUUAUGGUGGGGACUUUAACGAGACUGCCAAUGAUAAAAUUGGAGGAAGGUGAGGAUCACGUCAAAUCAGCAUGCCCCUUAUGACCUGGGCUACAAACGUGAUACAAUGGCUGUUACAAAGGGUAGCUGAAACGCAAGUUCUUGGCCAAUCCCCAAAAACAGUCCCAGUCCGGAUUGAAGUCUGCAACUCGACUUCAUGAAGUUGGAAUCGCUAGUAAUCCGGAUCAGCUUUCCGGGGAACGUCCG
RNAcentral lists this ribosomal RNA (1145 nucleotides) under 'Medicago sativa' phytoplasma. RNAcentral's name for it is "bacterial SSU rRNA". It matches the Rfam family "Bacterial small subunit ribosomal RNA", at positions 218 to 1374 of the family's 1533-position model. The record is from RNAcentral. Lineage: Bacteria; Bacillati; Mycoplasmatota; Mollicutes; Acholeplasmatales; Acholeplasmataceae.